CAUCUUUAUCUGGAUCUCAGAACUCUGCAGAUUGGAGCUGCAAAAAGCAGAGCUAUGCUCUUGAGCUCCCUCCCUGGAUAGGUGGUCCUGGGAGGCCUGCCCCGGUGUCUGCUCCUGGAAGGCAGACACUGCUCAUCCACCUGACUCCCACUCUGAUCCUUUUGCAGGAAAACACGUGGUGCAAGCACAGAAGCUGGCGGACGUGGACAGUGAGCUGGCCGCCGUGCUACUGACCCAUGCCCGGCAGGGCAAGGGGCCCCAGGACAUCGGCUGUGAGUCGGAUGCCACCCGCAGGCGUAAGCUGGAGCGGAUGAGGUCUGUGCGCCUGAAGGAGGCUGGGGGAGAGUUGAGCCAGCGCGGGACGAGCGUGUUGGUGCAGCAGAGCGUUCGCACACAGCACUUGCGGGACCUACAGGUCAUCGCCGCCUACCGAGAGCGCACAAAGGCUGAAAGCAUCGCCAGCCUGCUGAGCCUGGCCAUCACCACAGAGCACACACUCCACGCCACGCUGGGGGUCGCUGAGUUCUUCGAGUUUGUGCUUAAGAACCCCCACAACACACAGCACACAG
RNAcentral lists this small RNA (569 nucleotides) under Pongo abelii (Sumatran orangutan). RNAcentral's name for it is "retained intron". Lineage: Eukaryota; Metazoa; Chordata; Mammalia; Primates; Hominidae. The record is from RNAcentral.